Molecule: non-coding RNA, 87 nt
Organism: Paramarasmius palmivorus
Lineage: Eukaryota; Fungi; Basidiomycota; Agaricomycetes; Agaricales; Marasmiaceae
Source: the annotation of a GenBank genome assembly
GCCCGCGUUGUCUAAUGGUUAUGACGUCAGACUUCUAACUUGAGUGUAGGCAUCUGGAGGUUGCGGGUUCGAGUCCCGCCGUGGGUU